UGGCGGCGUGCCUAAUACAUGCAAGUCGAGCGAGUGCGACUAACUGAUCCCUUCGGGGUGACGUUAGUGGAUCGAGCGGCGGACGGGUGAGUAAUACGUGGGCAACCUAGCUACAAGAUCGGGCUAACUCCGGGAAACCGGGGCAAAUACCGGAUGAUAUCUUCUUCGCAUGAAGAGGAAAUGAAAGGCGCCGUAAGCUGUCACUUGUAGAUGGGCCCGCCGCGCAUUAGCUAGUUGGAGAGGUAACGGCCCACCAUUGGCAACGAUGCGUAGCCGACCUGAGAGGGUGAUCAGCCACACUGGGACUGAGACACGGCCUAGACUCCUACGGGAGGCAGCAGUAGGGAAUGUUCCGCAAUGGACGAAAGUCUGAUGGAGCAACGCCGCGUGAGCGAUGAAGGUAUUCGGAUUGUAAAGCUCUGUAGUUAGGGAAGAACAAGUACAAGAGUAACUGCUUGUACCUUGACGGUACCUAACCAGAAAGCCCCGGCUAACUACGUGCCAGCAGCCGCGGUAAUACGUAGGUGGCAAGCGUUGUCCGGAUUUAUUGGGCGUAAAGCGCGCGCAGGCGGUCCUUUAAGUCUGAUGUGAAAGCCCAGGGCUUAACCGUGGAGGGUCAUUGGAAACUGGGGGACUUGAGUACAGAAGAGGAGAGUGGAAUUCCACGUGUAGCGGUGAAAUGCGUAGAGAUGUGGAGGAACACCAGUGGCGAAGGCGACUCUCUGGUCUGUAACUGACGCUGAGGCGCGAAAGCAUGGGUAGCGAACAGGAUUAGAUACCCUGGUAGUCCAUGCCGUAAACGAUGAGUGCUAGGUGUUAGGGGGU
RNAcentral lists this ribosomal RNA (825 nucleotides) under Paucisalibacillus globulus. Its description in RNAcentral is "bacterial SSU rRNA". It matches the Rfam family "Bacterial small subunit ribosomal RNA", at positions 37 to 831 of the family's 1533-position model. Lineage: Bacteria; Bacillati; Bacillota; Bacilli; Caryophanales; Bacillaceae. The record is from RNAcentral.